UACAGAGGGUGCGAGCGUUAAUCGGAAUUACUGGGCGUAAAGCGCGCGUAGGCGGCUAAUUAAGUCGGAUGUGAAAUCCCCGAGCUCAACUUGGGAAUUGCAUACGAUACUGGUUAGCUAGAGUAUGGGAGAGGAAGGUAGAAUUCCAGGUGUAGCGGUGAAAUGCGUAGAGAUCUGGAGGAAUACCGAUGGCGAAGGCAGCCUUCUGGCCUAAUACUGACGCUGAGGUGCGAAAGCAUGGGGAGCAAACAGG
This 253-nucleotide ribosomal RNA is filed under the name uncultured bacterium. Its description in RNAcentral is "partial 16S ribosomal RNA". It matches the Rfam family "Bacterial small subunit ribosomal RNA", at positions 524 to 776 of the family's 1533-position model. The record is from RNAcentral.